GAGGUUGUGGCUCAGAGGUAGAGCUCUCGCCUAGCGCGUGCAAGGCCCUGGGUUUGAUCCUCAGCACCACA
This 71-nucleotide transfer RNA is filed under the name Marmota monax (woodchuck). Its description in RNAcentral is "tRNA.Ala". Lineage: Eukaryota; Metazoa; Chordata; Mammalia; Rodentia; Sciuridae. The record is from RNAcentral.